CUAAUGUCUCUGUAAAGCACUUUGAAUCACCUUGUUGUUGAAUUGUGCUAUACAAAUAAAUUUGCCUUGCCUUGCCUAGAUGUCAGAGAUCCCAGUGGACAUCGACAUCACGAAGGAGUAUGAGAAAACAGAAAAGUACCUGAAGGCUGAAGGAACAACUUGUGCAGAUGUGGGAGGUAAAAAUCCAAAGUGGUUCCAGUGGUAGCAGGAGCAUUGGGAGCUGUUAUUCCAGCAGAUUCCAGGCACAGCAUCUGAGUGUGCUCUUAGGAAUACGGCAGAAACUUGAAACUACCAGGCAGAGGACCUGAGCUUCAGACGUAUUUAUAAGUAAUUGUUGUUGGCAAGUAAAAAUACUUACAAAGCAUUUUUACUUGCUUUAUAAGUAAAAAUGAGUCAACAUGAAAUAUACCCUUCCUGUCCAGCUCGGACCCACACAGGAUCCAGCUCUUCUUUUUGUUGCUGCUGGAUCUACAGAAGAAACACUUCCUGACGUGAAACCAGAUUUGAUGUCCUACAGAAGAGUAACCGCCAUGUUUGUCUGUCCAGGCUGAACCGUGUUGGCAGCCGUGCAGGGCAUCCCAUUCCUUUGACAACAAGACCUUAUUCACCAGUUUCACCAGUGUUACCAUUCUUGACAUGCUGCUGGUUGCUGAUUGGUUUGUUUUGGAGUUGAUUUACAGUCAGUCUCAGUGAAGCAGUUGAAAAUGCAACCACCUUGUAGCUAACAUUUUAGGUGUUAUACAUUUAAUGCUCUUCUUCCUGUAGUACAGCAAUGCCCUUACAGUGAAUUCCAGUUUGCAGUGGUGCAGUGGUGGUUUACAUUAAUUUCAGUUUUUAUCAAAUUCGCCCAAAAAUGUCAGACACCACUGAACCCACAUUCUAUCCAAUUUGCGCCACAGAGAUUAAUCAUGUGACUAAAACUGCUCAAAUUUAAAUAGAAACAUAAUAUUUUGGGUCUUAUAGAAAUGUGACCAUAUGGAAAAAUGCAUUUUGUUUAUUCAAAGAAAAACAGCAAAUACGUCCAAAUAGUUUGGAUCUUAGGUCUAGAAGUGGAAAUACUGGAUGGAGCAUUGUCCUGAGCUGUAUGUUUCCCACCAGAUCGAAUAAUGCCAUGGUUAAUGUUGACACUGCAGAGUGGGAGGAGAGGGUGGAAGCUUGGAUGGAGGCCCGGGACUUGUCUAGAGAGUUACCCACAACUCUGCUCCCAGGAUGAAAAUAUUGAAAGGCAAGCACUCUGCCCAAUCAAAUUAAUUUUCUGCAUGACAUGCCAUGACGCCUGAAAAAAUGGUUGCUGCAUGAGAAGCUAUGUGUGUGUGUGUGUGUGUGUGUGUGUGUGUGUGUGUGUGUGUGUGUGUGUGUGUGUGAGGUAGGUAAUUGGUGCUGGAAAAUGUCAAGAGUAGAUGUGAGAACCAAACUGUUGAAAAGAGCUCGUGCUUUUAUUUUGAAUACAGGAAGUACCUGACCAUGCCUGUGUGUAUGGGACGUGUUUCAGAGUCCUGCAGUGUGACUGUUAAAGUGUGUGUUGUUAUGAACCUGUUAUUUCUUACACAAAACAGACUCAGCACCCAGUAAAUUGAACUAAACAAGCUGAAAAUCACAAAGUCCUUCUUUUCAUCUUGUUAAUGAGUCAAAAUGUUUAUAAAUUCCAACUCAUAUUCACCUCCUGUGCAGUUAUUCUAUGCAUGCUCUGCUUUAUCUGCCACACACAUGAACUUCCAGUGUGUACGACUGAAGUACACCACCCUGUUUAAAGUACACACGCUAUGUGUGUGCUCCACACCUCCACACAGCUCCUCCAUUUAUGAGUGAAAUACACUGAGGCAGAAACAAGGAUGAAAACAUGCUUUUAAAAAUGCAAAUAAAUAAAAUGAAUUGAGUUCUGUAAUAUUUUCACGUAUAAGGGAUGAAUGGGCUUUUUACUGUAAACUUAAAACAUUUACAGCAUUGCAUUUGUUUAUAUUUGUUGGCAUUACAAAUACUUGAUUAUUAUUUCUGUGUCAGAAUUUCCUCACUACAGAGUAACAAGCUACCAGUUUGGGACACGGUGAACUUUAGCAGCCUAAACUGUCUUUGUUGUUACAGCUUACAGUUUAGCUUAAUGUGACCUUGAACCAUCACACUGUUGUGCUGCUACGCACACAGGCUGCUGGGGGAGCUCCUGUGGUUUGUGCUGAGUUUCACCGAGUCACAAACAUGCGCUGGACACAGACACACACCACGACCCGACACAGACAGAAGGCAGCGGAAGCAGCUGUCAGUGUGAAACACUCUGCAGCUCCUCCAGUAUAUCUGCAUCACAGAGACAUGUAAUGUGAGUGUUAUUUGCAUGACCUAACUUACUAACAGUGAGGCAAUACUCCCUCCUACCCACGCUUUCUGUGGGUAUUUUUACCCGAGCAGCUACCAUAUGGCCCUGGAAAAAAUGCAUCCGACCCUACCGACCAUCGAGUAAAUACUUUGUUGCUGAAUAUUUUGCUACACUGUCAAAUUACCUCAAGGCCGUGUUACUUAUUGAUACUGUGUCUAUUCCAAGUGGGAUGAGACAAACAUGACUGAC
Long non-coding RNA from Haplochromis burtoni (Burton's mouthbrooder), 2557 nucleotides. RefSeq lists it as uncharacterized. Lineage: Eukaryota; Metazoa; Chordata; Actinopteri; Cichliformes; Cichlidae. The record is from RefSeq and is a predicted model, not a curated record. The transcript is spliced from 3 exons.